CACUCUAAUGAGACUGCCGGUGACAAACCGGAGGAAGGUGGGGAUGACGUCAAGUCCUCAUGGCCCUUAUAGGUGGGGCUACACACGUCAUACAAUGGCCGGUACAAAGGGCUGCCAACCCGCAGGGGGAGCCAAUCCCAUAAAACCGGUCGUAGUCCGGAUCGCAGUCUGCAACUCGACUGCGUGAAGUCGGAAUCGCUAGUAAUCGUGGAUCAGAAUGUCACGGUGAAUACGUUCCCGGGUCUU
This 246-nucleotide ribosomal RNA is filed under the name uncultured Comamonadaceae bacterium. Its description in RNAcentral is "partial 16S ribosomal RNA". It matches the Rfam family "Bacterial small subunit ribosomal RNA", at positions 1136 to 1382 of the family's 1533-position model. Lineage: Bacteria; Pseudomonadati; Pseudomonadota; Betaproteobacteria; Burkholderiales; Comamonadaceae. The record is from RNAcentral.